CUGCCGCCUCAUCUUCCCCUUUUGGCCCUCCCCCCAAUCUCUCGACUCUCAUCUCUCUCGGCUGAUCGACGACCGGCGACCGGCGCAACGGCGAGUCGUCCUUCCGGCGAGCCUAACAGCAGCAGCAGUGCAGCAAGGAGCCGCCGCCUCCUCUUCCCCCUCCGGCCCUCCCCCAAUCUCUCGACUCUCAUCUCUCUCGGCUGAUCGACGACCGGCGAUCGGCGCAACGGCGAGUCGUCCUUCCGGCGAGCCUAACAGCAGCAGCAGUGCAGCAAGGAGCUGCCGCCUUUGGCUCUCUUUUUCCCAGCCCGGCCAGCGCGCGACAACAGUUGGAGGAACCACCGGCGGCGCUUGUGUAUAUCAUUUCCAGUGAGUUUAAAUGUUUAAUGCUUAAUUUUCGUUAGGAACCACCAGAAUUAUUGUCGAGCCCAAUUUCUUGUCGGCCCCUCCUGCUCAAUUUCUUGGUGCAAUAGCCAACAUUAUUAUCAACUUGAAUGAUGCUUCCUAAAUCCUAAGUUUGUUUCUGUGUUUUUUUUCCUUCUUAUCUUAGGGAUAGAAUAUGGUGUGACCUUGAGCUACUUGUGUAUUGUUUAUCAACUGCUGUUUGCUGGUUUUUAGUAAAUCUAUGGUUGAAAAAUUUAAACAAAAGAUUACUCUGCAUAUGAGCUCAAGUAGAAGUUUUCCAAAUCAAUUACUACUAUUGUUUCUAUCAAAAUCUCACUAGAAGUAUAUACGAGCUUAGCUCUAGCCUCUAGAACAGGAGCACUUACAUUGCUGCUGUCUGCUGAACUUUAUUGCUACUGUUCAGAUUUUAUUUUUGAUUGGUUAUGUGAUGUUUUUAACUUCAGUUGAUAAUGACAUCCUCCCCUCCUGAAGUCUCCUCAACAAUGCCCAAUGUAGUAAUAUCUCAAAACUCCAUUGACGAUCAACAUUCAACGGAUGAUCAUAUUGUUACAAAUACAUCAUCAAAUGCCAAUGAUAUCACUGACAUUCAAGGUAGAAGUGGAGAUGGUGAAACAGGUGGUAGUGGAGAUGGUGAAACAGGUGGAAUCAGAAGCUACUUUUAGCGCAGGGGGUCGAGUUAUUGAUACAUAUCGAGCCUCAUUGAAUGCCGAUACAGUGCAAACAUUGAUUUGUGGAGGAGAUUGGUGUCGUAGUCUUCAUGGUGUGAAGAGAAAGAACAAAGUGAGUUAUGUUCUUAAUAUUUUAUGAUUUCUUAAAUUUAUUUUAACUUAAAUUGAUUAUCUUAUUUUAUACUACAGAGUGAGAAGAAACCUUUGGAGAUUAUGCUUCCCAUUUCUUGAAAGUAAGAUAGAUUAUUCAAUUAUGUUUGCAAUGGUAUUUAUUUAUCUUGGGCCGCUUUUCUGCAUCUGUGCUUUUAUGUGAUUAAUUGAGAUAGUGGAGCGCUGCACCUAUAUAUGGAUUCUUUUUGUCUUGUUUAUGAUCUUAAAUGGUCAUAUUCUUAUUGCUGGAGAAUUUAUCUUGUAAAUUAUUGUCUGAUUCUUCAUCUAAUUGUUGUGAUAGGGGGCAACAUGGGAUCCAAAUGGCUGUAUGGUACUUCUUUCUUUUUCGGAGUCAUCACCAUUAUGUUCCAUUCACUUUACAUCCAAACCUCCGUCGCUAGGUAUGUAACAUAUCCUGCUUUUGAUCUAUUUUGUUAAUGUUUGUUCUAUUAUUCUGCUUGAAUGAAAUUCACGGAUAUGUGGCUUUCAGUUAGAUAUCAGCACCAGAUAAUGGGUGUUCUGUUCCCCCAUUUCCUUUUUUGUCGAAAGGUUUAUUGGUUCUGUGCAUUGAUUGUAAUAUUAAAAUAAUGAGCAUUUAACAAAUGUUUGCAGAUAAGUUGUCUCAUACAUAUCUGUGAUUAUGUGAUGUUACCAUCUCUAAGAUAGAUUCUACUAAGCCCAACCAUUUGUCUAUUACACCAAUUUCGCAUUUGCAUACUUGUUAGGAAAUUGACAUUAUGUUUAUAUAUGUUGGCAAUACCAAUCAAAUCACCUGUUCAAGAGACGGUUACAAAAUACUUGACUCAUGCUUCGUCUGCUUCUUACUGCAUUUUUAUGAAUCUAUUUAUUUUGCUAUGAAUUUUCUUUAUAUUUAUUUUUCUUGUAUGCAACCUUUACAUGGUUGGUGUUCGUAUUGGAGAGACGACUUGAUGUUGGAGGCUUGGAGCAUUAUCUAUAAGAAGAAGUUGCAAAUUUGCUUUUAUUAUGUUGUAUUUGAUUCAAGACUUGUUAGUUUUUGAAUUUUUGAUGCCUUUAGACUAUUUGAAUGUGCAUUUUCGAGUCUAAUCGAUGUUUUGGAUAUCUAAGACUUGUUAUAAUUGAUUUGUAGAAGUACUUCUCGUAAUGAAAUGCUUUGUAAUUUUAUUCAAUUUGUUGAAGCAUGUAUCAGACGAGCUUAAACGAGCUCGAGCUCACCGAGUUUGAACGAGCUCGAGCUCAACGAGCUUAAACGAGCUCGAGCUCAAACUCGAGUAAGGCUCCACAAUCGAGCUUAAUCGAGUCGAGCUCGAGCUCACGAGUAUGGCAUCGAGUCGAGCUCGAGCUCAAGAAAAUCAAGCUCGGCCGAGUCGAGCUCGAGCU
This 2582-nucleotide long non-coding RNA is filed under the name Salvia miltiorrhiza (redroot sage). Its description in RNAcentral is "long non-coding RNA (SMIL_LNC005539)". Lineage: Eukaryota; Viridiplantae; Streptophyta; Magnoliopsida; Lamiales; Lamiaceae. The record is from RNAcentral.